RNAcentral lists this long non-coding RNA (743 nucleotides) under Homo sapiens (human). Its description in RNAcentral is "HSALNT0379096". The record is from RNAcentral. Lineage: Eukaryota; Metazoa; Chordata; Mammalia; Primates; Hominidae.
CCCGGCGGUUCAAGUUUCUGCGCCCGGAGGACGCGGCCUUAGCCAAUCCCAGGGCUACAGGGCGCUUUUAAAAUGCAGGAACCUACUUCAGGGAACCAUACAGAGGCCAAAUUCAGAAUCCCUACUUGAACCGCUGACCUUUUGCCCUCUCCAAGGCCGGAAGCAAGCCCUUGCCUGAUGCACGCCUCAGUCGCCCCGUCUGUAAAGUGGGCAGCCCAUCAAAUUCACAUCUCCCUGGCUGAGAGUCAUCUGGAGAAAUAAUGACUAUGUGACCUAAUGAAAAUUGCACGGUGCCUGCCGAGCGAGGUGGGUAAGCCACUGGCCCAACGCUGUCAUUACAGGAGGUGAAGCAGCGCGUGGGCUGAUGACUGGCAAGGGGUGCAGCCGCAGGAACCUUUCAUCAUGGGUUCCCUUGGGAGGCCAGGUAGGUCAGCUCUGAAAGCACCCGGUGCUGCGGGGCCUGCCUUCCUGUGGCUUCGGCUUGGGCGCCAUCCCAAGCCGGGUUGGCCAGAACUCUGCCUGUGCAGCCCCGCCCCCAGGCAAGCAGGAAACAAUGCACCUGAGCAACCUCCUCCCAUCUGCAGAGGAGGAAGCUAAGGUGUAGGGGGGUCAAGGCACUGGCCUAAGGUCCCACAGCCAAGGGGUGGCUGGGAGGUGCAAUCAGGUCUGCCUGGCACAGAGUCUGGUCUCCUGACCACGAUGCCAAACUGGUUAUUAUUGUCACCACAAUAGAAUACUAAUAA